This 540-nucleotide ribosomal RNA is filed under the name uncultured bacterium. RNAcentral describes it as "bacterial SSU rRNA". It matches the Rfam family "Bacterial small subunit ribosomal RNA", at positions 777 to 1322 of the family's 1533-position model. The record is from RNAcentral.
AAUAGAUACCCGGGUAGUCCACCCGUAACGUUGGACUAGUUGUGGGACCAUUCCACGGUUUCCGUGACGCAGCUAACGCAUUAAGUUCCCCGCCUGGGGAGUACGGCCGCAAGGCUAAAACUCAAAGGAAUUGACGGGGACCCGCACAAGCGGCGGAGCAUGCGGAUUAAUUCGAUGCAACGCGAAGAACCUUACCAAGGCUUGACAUAUACGAGAACGGGCCAGAAAUGGUCAACUCUUUGGACACUCGUAAACAGGUGGUGCAUGGUUGUCGUCAGCUCGUGUCGUGAGAUGUUGGGUUAAGUCCCGCAACGAGCGCAACCCUCGUUCUAUGUUGCCAGCACGUAAUGGUGGGAACUCAUGGGAUACUGCCGGGGUCAACUCGGAGGAAGGUGGGGAUGACGUCAAAUCAUCAUGCCCCUUAUGUCUUGGGCUUCACGCAUGCUACAAUGGCCGGUACAAAGGGCUGCAAUCCGUAAGGUGGAGCGAAUCCCAAAAAGCCGGUCCAGUUCGGAUUGAGGUCUGCAACUCGACCUCAUG